Cavia porcellus (domestic guinea pig) is the source of this 733-nucleotide long non-coding RNA. RefSeq lists it as uncharacterized. Lineage: Eukaryota; Metazoa; Chordata; Mammalia; Rodentia; Caviidae. The transcript has 3 exons. The record is from RefSeq and is a predicted model, not a curated record.
GUCAGGUCCCUGCAUGGGAGACCUGGCCCCUUGUGUGCCUUUUCAGGUUCUCAUUCUUCUGACCACAACAUCUGGAAACUACCAAACAUCAGAAGCAUCAUGUGGCUCCUGCUAAGCCUCCUCACUCUGCCUUGGCAAGCUUUUCCUCAGAAUCCCUCACCACAUCCCAGUUUUUGGAUUACAGCAUUUUUAGUAGAUGCCAGUGCCCAGCAAGAGAUGGCUUAGCUGCACCUGCAGCUGAGAUAGAAGGGGCAACAGUGCCAGUGCCUGGCUUUCCUGGCAGCCCUGAUUGAGAACAAGAGGAAGUGCCCUGGGUCCAGCAGAGAGGAUGAGUGUGGUCCUGAGGGAAGGCAGCAACCCAUCAUGAGGCCACUGAAAACCUGCAGAUUGAUCCAUGGAUGAUACUUCGGCAUCUUGUGACUACUUCAUUUGGCAACAUUUCCCCUGAUGGUUUUACUGUCCUUUUGAUAUUGCUGUCUGAAUCCACUGUUUUAUUUCGAUGCUAAUGAAAUGGAGUCACCAAGUUCCUUGAUUCCUUCAUCAUUUUUUGCCUGGGAAUAUUCAGUAAGGAAGACUUUCCAUCCUCAGCAUUAAUGGAUCAUUUGGAAAGGUUGUUCCUCAAGGAAAAGCAGAAUAUUUCCCCCCUUUUCUUUAGUUAACACCUUUCAUGGGAAGGGAAGGGGAUAAGAAGAUGUGUGAUGCACAUAGAUCCUUAAGGCAUAUGAUCAUCAUG